GCUGUGUGUUACAAGUGUCACACGGAACUGCCGGUCAUAAACCGGAGGAAGGUGGGGAUGAACGUCAAGUCAGCAUGGCCUUUAUAUCCUGGGCUACACACACGCUACAAUGGGAAGGGACAAUAGGUUGCGAAGCCGCGAGGCGGAGCCAAUCCAGCAAAACUUCCCUCAGUUCAGAUUGCAGGCUGCAACUCGCCUGCAUGAAGUUGGAGUUGCUAGUAAACGCAGGUCAGCCAUACUGCGUUGAAUACGUUCCCGGGGCUU
This 264-nucleotide ribosomal RNA is filed under the name uncultured Anaerolineaceae bacterium. RNAcentral's name for it is "partial 16S ribosomal RNA". It matches the Rfam family "Bacterial small subunit ribosomal RNA", at positions 1107 to 1382 of the family's 1533-position model. The record is from RNAcentral. Lineage: Bacteria; Bacillati; Chloroflexota; Anaerolineae; Anaerolineales; Anaerolineaceae.